RNAcentral lists this long non-coding RNA (213 nucleotides) under Elaeis guineensis (African oil palm). RNAcentral's name for it is "long non-coding RNA (EGUI_LNC007845)". Lineage: Eukaryota; Viridiplantae; Streptophyta; Magnoliopsida; Arecales; Arecaceae. The record is from RNAcentral.
UUGGCAUCAUGCUCUCUCUUGCACCUUAUGUUCAACCUUAACCAAAAUAACCUCAUAUUACGUUCCGCUAUAUAUAGCGUUUUCCUCUCAAGAUCAGCAAGAUGCUUCCCUCCCAAAACCCUUCAGGUUUGAAGAUUUUUGGUACCAAUAUCCUAACUUUGAUUCUUUAAUAAAAGGAUGGUGAACCUCUACUGGUGCAGUAUCAAACCUAGC